RNAcentral lists this ribosomal RNA (861 nucleotides) under uncultured Acidobacteriota bacterium. Its description in RNAcentral is "bacterial SSU rRNA". It matches the Rfam family "Bacterial small subunit ribosomal RNA", at positions 58 to 922 of the family's 1533-position model. Lineage: Bacteria; Pseudomonadati; Acidobacteriota. The record is from RNAcentral.
CAAGUCGAGUGCGCGCCUGUAGCAAUACAGGUGGCGCACGGCGCACGGGUGCGUAACACGUGGGUAAUCUGCCCUUCGAUGGGGAAUAACUCGCCGAAAGGCGAGCUAAUUCCGCAUAACAUUCCGAGAACCUUGGUUUUUGGAUUCAAAGGCGUAAGUCGUCGGAGGAGGAGCCCGCGCACGAUUAGCUAGUUGGUGAGGUAAUGGCUCACCAAGGCUAUGAUCGUUAGCUGGUCUGAGAGGAUGGCCAGCCACACUGGAACUGAGACACGGUCCAGACUCCUACGGGAGGCAGCAGUGGGGAAUCUUGCACAAUGGGCGAAAGCCUGAUGCAGCGACGCCGCGUGGGGGAUGAAGCUUCUCGGAGUGUAAACCCCUUUCGACCCGGACGAAUGCCCCGCAAGGGGACUGACGGUACGGGUAUAAGAAGCCCCGGCUAACUACGUGCCAGCAGCCGCGGUAAGACGUAGGGGGCCAGCGUUGCUCGGAAUUACUGGGUGUAAAGGGUUCGUAGGCGGUGUGGCAAGUCGGGAGUGAAAUCUCUGGGCUCAACCCAGAGUCUACUUCCGAAACUGCUGUGCUUGAGUGUGGGAGAGGCGCGUGGAAUUGCAGGUGUAGCGGUGAAAUGCGUAGAUAUCUGCAGGAACACCCGUGGCGAAAGCGGCGCGCUGGACCACUACUGACGCUGAGGAACGAAAGCUAGGGGAGCAAACAGGAUUAGAUACCCUGGUAGUCCUAGCCCUAAACGAUCAGGACUUGGGGUGCCGCCCGUUCGGGCGUCGUCCCGGAGCUAACGCGUUAAGUCCUGCACCUGGGGAGUACGGUCGCAAGACUGAAACUCAAAGGAAUUGACGGGGGCCC